RNAcentral lists this ribosomal RNA (526 nucleotides) under uncultured Moraxellaceae bacterium. RNAcentral's name for it is "bacterial SSU rRNA". It matches the Rfam family "Bacterial small subunit ribosomal RNA", at positions 8 to 541 of the family's 1533-position model. Lineage: Bacteria; Pseudomonadati; Pseudomonadota; Gammaproteobacteria; Moraxellales; Moraxellaceae. The record is from RNAcentral.
AGAGUUUGAUCAUGGCUCAGAUUGAACGCUGGCGGCAGCGUUAACACAUGCAAGUCGAGCGGAGAUAAGGUGCUUGCACUUAUCUUAGCGGCGGACGGGUGAGUAAUGCUUAGGAAUCUGCCUAUUAGUGGGGGACAACAUUCCGAAAGAAUGCUAAUACCGCAUACGUCCUACGGGGGAAAGCAGGGGAUCUUCGGACCUUGCGCUAAUAGAUGAGCCUAAGUCGGAUUAGCUAGUUGGUGGGGAAAGGCUACCAAGGCGACGAUCUGUAGCGGGUCUGAGAGGAUGAUCCGCCACACUGGGACUGAGACACGGCCCAGACUCCUACGGAGGCAGCAGUGGGGAAUAUUGGACAAUGGGGGGAACUGAUCCAGCCAUGCCGCGUGUGUGAAGAAGGCCUUAUGGUGUAAAGCACUUUAAGCGAGGAGGAGGCUACUGAGCUAAUACUCUUGGAUAGUGGACGUUACUCGCAGAAUAAGCACCGGUAACUCUGUGCCAGCAGCGCGUAAUACAGAGGUGCGAGCGU